ACAGCAGUCGCCGCGGUAAUACGAAGGGUGCAAGCGUUACUCGGAAUUACUGGGCGUAAAGCGUGCGUAGGUGGUGGUUUAAGUCCGUUGUGAAAGCCCUGGGCUCAACCUGGGAAUUGCAGUGGAUACUGGGUCACUAGAGUGUGGUAGAGGAUAGUGGAAUUUCCGGUGUAGCAGUGAAAUGCGUAGAGAUCGGAAGGAACAUCUGUGGCGAAGGCGACUAUCUGGGCCAACACUGACACUGAGGCACGAAAGCGUGGGGAGCAAACAGGAUUAGAGACCCCCGUAGUCCCUGUCUCUUUUAC
This 305-nucleotide ribosomal RNA is filed under the name uncultured bacterium. RNAcentral's name for it is "partial 16S ribosomal RNA". It matches the Rfam family "Bacterial small subunit ribosomal RNA", at positions 508 to 807 of the family's 1533-position model. The record is from RNAcentral.